AUAGAAAGGAUAUUUGGAAUCUUU
Molecule: small nuclear RNA, 24 nt
Filed under: Arabidopsis thaliana (thale cress)
Lineage: Eukaryota; Viridiplantae; Streptophyta; Magnoliopsida; Brassicales; Brassicaceae
Description: snRNA_19103
Source: RNAcentral